Molecule: ribosomal RNA, 269 nt
Filed under: uncultured prokaryote
Description: partial 16S ribosomal RNA
Rfam family: Bacterial small subunit ribosomal RNA
Source: RNAcentral
GACGGGGGGAGCAAGCGUUGUUCGGAAUUACUGGGUGUAAAGGGCGUCUAGGCGGGCUUGUAAGUCAGGUGUGAAAUCCUCCGGCUCAACCGGAGAACUGCAUUUGAUACUGCAAGUCUUGAGUUCGGAAGAGGAAAGCGGAAUUCCUGGUGUAGCGGUGAAAUGCGUAGAUAUCAGGAAGAACACCAGUGGCGAAGGCGGCUUUCUGGUCCGAUACUAACGCUGAAGCGCGAAAGUGUGGGGAGCAAACAGGAUUAGAUACCCCUGUA